Molecule: ribosomal RNA, 231 nt
Filed under: uncultured bacterium
Lineage: Bacteria
Description: partial 16S ribosomal RNA
Rfam family: Bacterial small subunit ribosomal RNA
Source: RNAcentral
GAUCAUGGCUCAGGACGAACGCUGGCGGCGUGCCUAAUACAUGCAAGUAGAACGCUGAAGGAGGAGCUUGCUUCUCCGGAUGAGUUGCGAACGGGUGAGUAACGCGUAGGUAACCUGCCUGGUAGUGGGGGAUAACUAUUGGAAACGAUAGCUAAUACCGCAUAAUAGCAGUUGUUGCAUGACAACUGUUUGAAAGGUGCAAUUGCACCACUACCAGAUGGACCUGCGUUG